GCUAAACGCGAAGAACCUUACCAAGGCUUGACAUAUACGAGAACGCUGCAGAAAUGUAGAACUCUUUGGACACUCGUAAACAGGUGGUGCAUGGUUGUCGUCAGCUCGUGUCGUGAGAUGUUGGGUUAAGUCCCGCAACGAGCGCAACCCUCGUUCUAUGUUGCCAGCACGUAAUGGUGGGAACUCAUGGGAUACUGCCGGGGUCAACUCGGAGGAAGGUGGGGAUGACGUCAAAUCAUCAUGCCCCUUAUGUCUUGGGCUUCACGCAUGCUACAAUGGCCGGUACAAAGGGCUGCAAUACCGUAAGGUGGAGCGAAUCCCAAAAAGCCGGCCCCAGUUCGGAUUGAGGUCUGCAACUCGACUCCAUGAAGUCGGAAUCGCUAGUAAUCGUGGAUCAGAAUGCCACGGUGAAUACGUUCCCGGGUCUUGUACACACCG
RNAcentral lists this ribosomal RNA (438 nucleotides) under uncultured bacterium. Its description in RNAcentral is "bacterial SSU rRNA". It matches the Rfam family "Bacterial small subunit ribosomal RNA", at positions 954 to 1392 of the family's 1533-position model. The record is from RNAcentral.